UUGAGCCUACGGGGCGCAGCAGUGAGGAAUAUUGGUCAAUGGGCGGAAGCCUGAACCAGCCAAGUCGCGUGAGGGAAUAAGGCCCUACGGGUCGUAAACCUCUUUUGCCGGGGAGCAAGGGCGGGGACGUGUCCCGGCCCGGAGAGUACCCGGAGAAAAAGCAUCGGCUAACUCCGUGCCAGCAGCCGCGGUAAUACGGAGGAUGCGAGCGUUAUCCGGAUUUAUUGGGUUUAAAGGGUGCGCAGGCGGAGGUGCAAGUCAGCGGUCAAAUUGCGGGGCUCAACCCCGUACUGCCGUUGAAACUG
Molecule: ribosomal RNA, 305 nt
Filed under: uncultured bacterium
Lineage: Bacteria
Description: bacterial SSU rRNA
Rfam family: Bacterial small subunit ribosomal RNA
Source: RNAcentral